This 475-nucleotide long non-coding RNA is filed under the name Chrysemys picta bellii (western painted turtle). RNAcentral's name for it is "lncRNA (ENSCPBG00000016941.1)". Lineage: Eukaryota; Metazoa; Chordata; Testudines; Emydidae. The record is from RNAcentral.
GUGGCAUAAGGAUGACCAUAGUUGUAGUGAAUGUUAUGUAGCCUGAAAACUAUAUUUAUUACCACUCUCCUUCUCUCUCUCUCUCUCUCUCUCUCAGCCUAGCUAGCUAUCAGCUUGAUAGCUAUCAGUUUGUCCUUGAUUCCAGUCAGUGGUUACAGGGCCAAUGUGGGAAUCACAUCCCAGCAAAGAAAGCUCCAGGUGGCAGAACUCAACUCUUGGGACAUCUCCUCAUCUGGUGCUGAGCGCUAUGGAGUCUAAGCCUGGGGGGAUCUCCUUGCCCUUCUGCAACCUCUGAGCAGCAGCACAGGCGCUGCUCGGGAGCCUGUGACUGGUGUAAAUUGUACAGAUGCAGAUGAAGGAGAGGAAGCUCCAACAGCCGUUGAAUGCAGCCUGUGAACACUAGUGCUUCAUUGAUAGCCAGGAUACCUAGGCAUUUGCACUUGAAAGGGACAAUAAAGAGGUGUCAGAACAAUCA